RNAcentral lists this long non-coding RNA (718 nucleotides) under Ananas comosus (pineapple). RNAcentral describes it as "long non-coding RNA (ACOM_LNC004677)". Lineage: Eukaryota; Viridiplantae; Streptophyta; Magnoliopsida; Poales; Bromeliaceae. The record is from RNAcentral.
GUAUUAUAUGUGCACCAUAUCAUUAAUAAUAAAUUAAUUAUUUUUUUAUUUUAAUUUUUUUUUAAUUAUAAUAAGACAAAUAAAUAAAUUGAACUAGAAUACUUUUAAAAGCACUAAUCCCUAGGUUUGGUUUGGGAUUAAGGGGUGGAAUAACCUCUUAACCCGAUAUUAUCUCCAAACACCUCCAAAAAUGGAUGCGGCUAGCUACUCCCACCUCAAAUGGACUAUUCCGGAUUAGCUAGCCUCACCUAAUCCGACCAAAUCCUAACAAAAUACUAUUUUCUAGUCAUAAUAACUCACUAUCCUUCUUAUUCCAUCUAUUCCAACCAAAUACUAUUUUUCACUAUCCUGAACUAACUCCAAUUCUCAACCAAACACAAAAAUACUCUAACCCUAUCUUAAUCCUGAACUUAAUCCUAUUCCUGGAAUAAUUAGUUUUUGCUUAACCCCGAACCAAUAGGUGCUUUUAAGUUUCUAGCCCUUGGAUCUAUUCCGUAAUUACUACUACCUUUGGAUCAAACACUAUUCUACCUACCACCACUUAUCAUCAUCAUCUCAACUCUACAUCUCUCAAUCCAACAGUUAAAAAUUUAAAAGCACCACCCCUUAUAUUUUCGAGAGUAUUCUAGUUCAACUCCAAAUAAAUUCAAAAAAAAUAAUUUUAUUAGUUAAAAAUACUGAGUCAGUAAUAUAAUUUGUGCAUUCUCAAUUUUUUAGA